Perkinsus marinus ATCC 50983 is the source of this 72-nucleotide non-coding RNA. NCBI's taxonomy places the organism in Eukaryota, Perkinsozoa, Perkinsida, Perkinsidae. The record is from Rfam.
GGAUCUAUAGUGUAGUGGUUAGCACUCUGGACUUUGAAUUCAGCGACUCGGGUUUGAAUCCCGAUAGAGCCU